This 413-nucleotide ribosomal RNA is filed under the name Salmonella enterica subsp. enterica serovar Dortmund. RNAcentral's name for it is "partial 23S ribosomal RNA". It matches the Rfam family "Bacterial large subunit ribosomal RNA", at positions 1 to 444 of the family's 2925-position model. Lineage: Bacteria; Pseudomonadati; Pseudomonadota; Gammaproteobacteria; Enterobacterales; Enterobacteriaceae. The record is from RNAcentral.
GGGUUGUGAGGUUAAGCGACCAAGCGUACACGGUGGAUGCCCUGGCAGUCAGAGGCGAUGAAGGGCGUGCUAAUCUGCGAUAAGCGCCGGUAAGGUGAUAUGAACCGUUAUAACCGGCGAUACCCGAAUGGGGAAACCCAGUGUGAUUCGUCACACUAUCAUUAACUGAAUCCAUAGGUUAAUGAGGCGAACCGGGGGAACUGAAACAUCUAAGUACCCCGAGGAAAAGAAAUCAACCGAGAUUCCCCCAGUAGCGGCGAGCGAACGGGGAGGAGCCCAGAGCCUGAAUCAGCAUGUGUGUUAGUGGAAGCGUCUGGAAAGGCGCGCGAUACAGGGUGACAGCCCCGUACACAAAAGCGCAUAUGCUGUGAGCUCGAUGAGUAGGGCGGGACACGUGGUAUCCUGUCUGAAUA